Molecule: ribosomal RNA, 499 nt
Filed under: uncultured bacterium
Lineage: Bacteria
Description: bacterial SSU rRNA
Rfam family: Bacterial small subunit ribosomal RNA
Source: RNAcentral
GACAAACGCUGGCGGCGUGGAUUAGGCAUGCAAGUCGAACGGUAUCAUCCUUUCGGGGGUGAGAGAGUGGCGAACUGGUGAGUAACACGUAGGUUAUCUACCCUCAAGACGGGGACAACCCAGGGAAACUUGGGCUAAUACCGGAUGUGAGCAACUUUUAGUUGUUUGAAAGGUGGCGUAAGCUGUCGCUUGGAGAUGAGCCUGCGUCCUAUUAGUUAGUUGGUGAGGUAACGGCUCACCUAGGCAAUGAUAGGUAGGCGGCCUUAACGGGUGGUCGCCCACACUGGGAUUGAGAUACGGCCCAGACUCCUACGGGAGGCAGCAGUCGAGAAUAGUCUACAAUGGUCGGAAGACUGAUAGUGCGACGCCGCGUGAACGAUGAAUCCCUUCGGGGUGUAAAGUUCUUUUAUAUGUGAGCAGUGCUUCUUAUAUUAACAGUAUGGGGAGAGAGAUAUUAGCAUAUGAAUAAGCAACGGCUAACUCCGUGCCAGCAGCCGAC